ACACAAACACACACACUGGACACACACACACACUGGACACACACACACACACACACACACACACACACACACACACACACACACACACACACACACACUGGACACACACACACACACACACACACACACACACACACACUGGACACACACACACACUGGACACACACACACACACUGGGACACACACACACACACACACACUGGACACACACACACACACACUGGACACACACACACACACACACUGGACACACACACACACACUGGACACACACACACUGGACACACACACACACACUGGACACACACACACACACACACACUGGACACACACACACACACACACACACACACACACACACACACACACACACACUGGACAAACAAACACACACUGGACACACACAUACACACACACUGGACAAACACACACACACUAGACAAACAAACACACACACAAACACAGUGGACACACACACACACACACACACACACACACACACACACACACUCUGGACACACACACACACACACACAUGUGCGUCUUCCUAUAGUUGUGAGGACCUCUUACAAUAACACUGUUAAAAUACCAAUGUGAUCAUUUGUUGUGUUUUAUGUUGAAAAACAAAUUGUAUAAUUAUAUAUGGACAUACGCUCCAUAGUUGUACAAGUAUACAAGGAUAUAUUGUACUUUUCAUAAUAAAACAUACUUGAAACAAGAAAAGGCUGUUAAUUGUGAAAACAGUUUGUUUAUUGAUUUUACGUUUCCUCUGUCAGGUUGAUGUUAACCUGCGACUGGUUGAAACAUGAAACAAAUAUGAAAUGAAAUACAAAACAAUUAAAUAUGUGGAAUAGAAUUAAACAAAUUGUACAAUUAGUACAACAGAGUGUUGUGAUGCAGGGGCACUAUAGCAACAGAGUGUUGUGAUGCAGGGUCACUAUAGCAACAGAGUGUUGUGAUGCAGGGUCACUAUAGCAACAGAGUGUUGUGAUGCAGGGUCACUAUAGCAACAGUGUUGUGAUGCAGGGUCACUAUAGCAACAGAGUUUUGUGAUGCAGGGCCACUAUAGCAACAGAGUGUUGUCAUGCAGGGGCACUAUAGCAACAGAGUGUUGUGAUGCAGGGUCACUAUAGCAACAGAGUGUUGUGAUGCAGG
Long non-coding RNA from Oncorhynchus tshawytscha (Chinook salmon), 1156 nucleotides. NCBI's taxonomy places the organism in Eukaryota, Metazoa, Chordata, Actinopteri, Salmoniformes, Salmonidae. The record is from Ensembl.